AUCCAGCUGACGAGCUCAAAACUGGACGAAACGCACGUCCUAAAU
RNAcentral lists this non-coding RNA (45 nucleotides) under Schistosoma mattheei. The record is from RNAcentral. Lineage: Eukaryota; Metazoa; Platyhelminthes; Trematoda; Strigeidida; Schistosomatidae.